UACGUAGGGGGCUAGCGUUGCUCGGAAUGACUGGGCGUAAAGGGCGCGUAGGCGGCUUGCCAAGUCAGGCGUGAAAUUCCUGGGCUCAACCUGGGGACUGCGCUUGAGACGUGUGGGCUUGAGUGGGGAAGAGGGUCGUGGAAUUCCCAGUGUAGAGGUGAAAUUCGUAGAUAUUGGGAAGAACACCGGUGGCGAAGGCGGCGACCUGGUCCUUGACUGACGCUGAGGCGCGAAAGCGUGGGGAGCAAACAGG
RNAcentral lists this ribosomal RNA (253 nucleotides) under uncultured bacterium. RNAcentral describes it as "partial 16S ribosomal RNA". It matches the Rfam family "Bacterial small subunit ribosomal RNA", at positions 524 to 776 of the family's 1533-position model. The record is from RNAcentral.